UAGAUGUUUUGUAAUAAUUUAGAUAAGACAGGCUUUGGAAUAUUAGAACAUUGUUGUUCAAUCCAAUUUUUCUUUACCUCAUUUUAUAUUGAUUUAUUCAUAAAAUUAUACUUCAUUCUCCUUGGUAGUAUGUAUGCCCUAGUCAGGUUAUUGGGGAGGAAAGUCCAGAUAGAAUGAUGGAAUUAUUGAAAAACUGAUGAUUUAUCUGGGAAAACUGUCCAUUCUCCUUAAUUCAUUCACUAUUUCUUCUAGUUCACCCAUCAAAGAUGUUGGGAAAGGGAUACCGGACAUCAUUAAGUUAACUCUCCUCUUGAGGCAUUUUCUCCAUCAAGAGAGAAUGAAAUUGACAAGAACAGACGGCCUCAGUUCAAAUAGGAGCAGUAACCACAUGGUGCUCUGUCAAGAUAGUAACUUGUUCUUCCUCUCCUCUGGCUGGAAACACAAGGGUCAAGGUACCUGGAGUGAGUUUCCUAGCAUGAGACCAGAAGCGAGGACUUUAGUCAUGAGGACAGAAUAACAGCUAGAAGAAUGGAUCAAUGGAGUCAAUAAUAUUGUGAGACCAGGAGGGCAGGAUGAUCUUUCCUGGACUACCCCUCUGGGCAGCAAAGGCAAAAUGGAAAA
RNAcentral lists this long non-coding RNA (621 nucleotides) under Monodelphis domestica (gray short-tailed opossum). RNAcentral's name for it is "lncRNA (ENSMODG00000047903.1)". The record is from RNAcentral. Lineage: Eukaryota; Metazoa; Chordata; Mammalia; Didelphimorphia; Didelphidae.